RNAcentral lists this ribosomal RNA (255 nucleotides) under uncultured bacterium. RNAcentral's name for it is "partial 16S ribosomal RNA". It matches the Rfam family "Bacterial small subunit ribosomal RNA", at positions 524 to 776 of the family's 1533-position model. RNAcentral also lists the same sequence under 1 other name. The record is from RNAcentral.
UACGGAGGAUCCGAGCGUUAUCCGGAGUGACUGGGCGUAAAGAGUUGCGUAGGUGGACAAGUUAGCGAAUAGUGAAACCCGGUGGCUCAACCACACGGACUAUUAUUCGAACUGCUUGUCUUGAGAAUGGUAGAGGUAACUGGAAUUUCUAGUGUAGGAGUGAAAUCCGUAGAUAUUAGAAGGAACACCAAUGGCGUAGGCAGGUUACUGGACCAUUUCUGACACUAAGGCACGAAAGCGUGGGGAGCGAACCGG